Molecule: ribosomal RNA, 253 nt
Filed under: uncultured bacterium
Lineage: Bacteria
Description: partial 16S ribosomal RNA
Rfam family: Bacterial small subunit ribosomal RNA
Source: RNAcentral
UACGUAGGGGGCAAGCGUUGUCCGGAUUCAUUGGGCGUAAAGAGCGUGUAGGCGGCCAGGUAGGUCGGGUGUGAAAACUGGAGGCUCAACCUUCAGAGGUCGACCGAAACCAUCUGGCUAGAGUCCGGGAGAGGAGAGUGGAAUUCCUGGUGUAGCGGUGAAAUGCGCAGAUAUCAGGAAGAACACCCGUGGCGAAAGCGGCUCUCUGGAACGGUACUGACGCUGAGAAGCGAAAGCAUGGGGAGCGAACAGG